GGGGAAUCUUGGACAAUGGGGGCAACCCUGAUCCAGCCAUGCCGCGUGAUCGAUGAAGGCCUUAGGGUUGUAAAGAUCUUUCAGCUGGGAAGAUAAUGACGGUACCAGCAGAAGAAGCCCCGGCUAACUCCGUGCCAGCAGCCGCGGUAAUACGGAGGGGGCUAGCGUUGUUCGGAAUUACUGGGCGUAAAGCGCACGUAGGCGGACCUGAAAGUCGGGGUGAAAUCCCGGGGCUCAACCCCGGAACUGCCUCCGAAACUGUGGGUCUGGAGGUCGAGAGAGGCGAGUGGAAUUCCGAGUGUAGAGGUGAAAUUCGUAGAUAUUCGGAGGAACACCAGUGGCGAAGGCGGCUCGCUGGCUCGAUACUGACGCUGAGGUGCGAAAGCGUGGGGAGCAAAC
Molecule: ribosomal RNA, 399 nt
Filed under: uncultured bacterium
Lineage: Bacteria
Description: bacterial SSU rRNA
Rfam family: Bacterial small subunit ribosomal RNA
Source: RNAcentral